RNAcentral lists this ribosomal RNA (274 nucleotides) under uncultured bacterium. RNAcentral describes it as "partial 16S ribosomal RNA". The record is from RNAcentral.
CUGCUGCCUCCCGUAGGAGUCUGGUCCGUGUCUCAGUACCAGUGUGGGGGACCUUCCUCUCAGAACCCCUACGCAUCGUCGCCUUGGUGGGCCGUUACCCCGCCAACAAGCUAAUGCGCCGCAUGCCCGUCCUCCGCCGGAAUCGCUUCCUUUUAACACCCGUGGGAUGCCCCACUGGUGUACCACGCGGUAUUAGUCCGGAUUUCUCCGGGUUAUCCCCCUGCGGAGGGCAGGUUGCAUACGUGUUACUCACCUGUGCGCCGGUCGCCGGCAG